CUCCAUUCUCGGUCUUUUGGGUAAGAUCAAGCAUAGUAUCUGCAUAUGUUCUUAUCAGUUUGAUAUCUGAUAUGUCUUCUAUUUGAGGACACAAUAUUAAAUGGAUUGGAACUAAGAGAUGGAGCUUGCCUCAUCCACUCCACACAUCCACCUAGCGUUGCAGUACCUCCAGGAACAGCAUACCCCCG
Small nuclear RNA from Sapajus apella (tufted capuchin), 188 nucleotides. RefSeq annotates it as U2 spliceosomal RNA. Lineage: Eukaryota; Metazoa; Chordata; Mammalia; Primates; Cebidae. The transcript has a single exon. The record is from RefSeq and is a predicted model, not a curated record.